UGUGCACAAUUCCAAAAAAAUAUGGGGAUGAAGAUUCACCCACAGAGUAAAUCUGUAUUAUGGAAAGUGUUUUUAAAUCAAGUUUGGAAAAGUUGUCGGAAGCUUGGUGAUGGGGUCGUUGAGGUUGCGCGACCGUGGUGUAGUUCGUUUAUAGCAUACGGUUAGCAUUGCAUUUCUGGGGAUUGUAUUUAGGCUUCAAAACUUCAUAAAAGUUGUGUUCAUUUGUGAAAAUUAUCUUGAUGGACAAAACGUGUUAGUAUUGUUCACUGUUGUUGAUCACAGAGCUUAUUUUUUGCAAUAAUCCAAAAGCCUAUGGGAAAAUCCUGUUAGGUUUUUGUCGAGGGAACCAGUGUGAUGCUAACUUCCGGAUUCCGGUACAAACAACAUCAUUCCUGCGCCACUCUGUGAACUCAACCGAUAACAACCUGCUCGCGAAAUAAAUAAAUAAAUAAAUAAUGCAUCCAAUCACCAUUCUGUGUGUUUCACCAUCAGAGCAAAACUAGCCAAUCUAAAUCCUCCAUGCUUCGCAUGUGACACGAGAGCGGUUAUUUACAUCUCUACCCAUAUUCCGAUGAAUCCCGCCUCCAGCGCUGUGAUUGGUUAACACCGACCCAUUUUUGUACUUCGAUUGGCUGUUCGGGUUACAUCCUAAUCCUGAAUACGAGUGGAAUAAAAAAUAAAAACGAAUUUGAAGCAGCGAGAUACUCGUCCAGUCUGUCAAACUCCGGCAAGUGACAUUUUCUCUCAGUUUAAUAUCCCAGUGACACAAGAGCUUAAAGUUUAAAGGUUUGGUGAAAUUAUGAGCUCUGUUUGAAGAAUUAAUGUUAGUUAGACAUAAUGGCAAAAAGAAAAAAAAUGAAGGCACCGAGUUAGCAACAGUUAAAAUGAGUUAGUAAGGAGUAAGAGGUUAGUAAGGAAGCAAACUAGUGACCUUAGUAUUAGUCUAAUCUAACUUUCAUUCAUUCUUAACCCAGAUCAAACCUUAUAAUGAUAGAAAGCUGAUAAACAUAUAGUCCAUUCAGGUUUAUUCAUUCAUCCAGAGGACGUUAUGCCAAUACAGAAAACAAAGCCUAGCAAAUUUAUAAUAUUACGUUAUAACCUCUGUUAUUUACCUAAUAUCUUAUUGCUAUCAAAAGCUUCCUAUUGAAGCUACACAUUUUAUUUUUUAGGUACAUAUGAUCACUUUUGUACGUAUACAAUCCUGAAUCUUUAUACUGUUUUGCUGUACACAGUUUGUCAGCCACCUUCUUCUUGUCCAUCAGUAGAAAGGAACCACCGGUGAUCAGAGAUGACGGACCGCUCACAGCACAGCCGUCACACUCUGUACACUUACUUACCACUUUAUUAUUUAUGAUACCUACCUUGUUUGUACACCUGCGUGUACAGUUAGAGAGAGUAGUUUGUGUUGCUGUGGGGUAUGUAUGGUGUGUAUGGGGUAGCACUGCCUCCAGGGUCACUGGUUUGAUUCUGAGCUCAGGUUACUGUCUGUGUGGAGUGACGCAGGUUCUUUCCAUGUCUGCAGGUUCUCCGGUUUUCCUUCCACCUACUAAUAACCUGCAGGAUAAUAUAUAAUAAUAAUAAUAAUUUACACAGAUCAUCCUGUUCAAAAGUUUACACCCCCCUGGCUCUUAAUGUAUCGUGUUGCCUUCUUGAGAAUCAGUGAAUGCUUGCACCUGAUAUAAUAAGGAAAAUAUGAGUAAAAAUGUGUGUGUAUUACUAUGUUUGAGCAUACCAAACUCUACUGGACUCUAUUGUACUUGCAUGCACAAACUAUUAGAUCAAAUCAAGAUGUGUCCAUGUAGGCUAGCGCUUUGCUGUUUUGUGUAUGUUUUUGUGUGUGACAUCUCAAGGUCAGAAGCAGCAGCAGGACCUCCUCAUUGUGCUCGACACCAAUGUUCUCCUCAGCCACCUGGACUUUGUGAAGAGGAUUAGAUCCCAUGGACUUGGAGCUCUGGGGUUCCCGAUGCUGCUGGUUCCCUGGGUGGUUCUACAGGAGCUGGACUCGUUAAAAAGCAGGAAACUGUCAAAGGCCAGCUGUGGACUACAUCUACACCUCCCUGAAGAACCUGGAGCCGCGUCUCUGGAGCCAGUCCAUGCAGCAAGUGUCUCACGCUGCCUUGCAGUCUGAACGUGGAGGAUAAUGACGAUCUGGUGCUGCAGUGCUGUCUCCUGUACAAGACGUUGUAUCCAGGGGGCACUAUCAUGCUGUGCACGUAAGCCGUACAUUCAAGACUCAGAAUUGUUCAGGCAUCUUUAGGAGGACAUCUUUGGGGGUCACAUCUGGAAUUGUUUUUAAUUGUAAUUGAACAAAAGACCUUGUUUUCAGCUUCUGAUUUGCUGAUUUGCUCACAGUGGCCUGCUGGACACCUUUGGAUACUUGAAUAGUGCUUUUAACAAUAAACAAUGUCACAAUAGACAAUAAUCUGUUACGAGCAUUUACAUUUUUAAUGAGCAAGAGAGAGGGAGAGUUAUUAACUGUUUAAUGUUUAAUUGUUAAUGGAGUAAGUAAAAAUAAAUAAAUAAAUAAAUAAAAUGGACUUGAUUGAGGUAUUAACACAACAUAUCUGGUGUAACUUUAGUAAUAAUAAGGGACGUCACAAAUGUUUUAUUUAGCUCUGUUUAUGUUUAAAUAGCAGCCCUGAUAUCGGAUAGUGCUGUAAUAAUUCAUUAUAUUCUAAAAAGUCAAACAGUCCUGAAGCAUAUUAUGAAGAAGAGUCCUGGGAUAGUCUGAUCUAAGUAUGAGUCCAGCAGCAGUUCUUGGGUACAAAUGUACAAAGGUGAGAUUAUCCACUGAGAUUACCCUGAGGUUUAACUCUAAACUGUUUUUUGUUCUUUUUUGUUUUUGAGUUUUUCUUUCAUCAUUUCCAUUAUUUUAUGGCAACGAUAAGAACCUGUGCAGUAAAGCUCUGCUGAGCGGAGUCAAGGCCCUGAUUAAUGGGCGUUCCCUAAAGUGGUUCUCAUCCUAUUUAUAUAGGAGAACCUUUGCUGUGGAAUUAGUGAGCUCUAUUUCCUGCUCUCAGCCGAUCUCAUCUGGGGUUCCUCGAGGUUCUUGUCUUGGCCCUGUGCUGUUUUCUCUAUAUAUGCUCCCUUUGGGAUUAAACUCUCAAACACAGUGUAGCAUAUCAUUGUUAUGUAGACCAUACCCAGUUGUAUCUGCCUCUGAAAUGUAAUGAUUACUCCAAACUGUCAUGUAUCCGGAAACUCUGGACUCGAGUUCCCAUCAGACUCUGCACUGCACUAAAUGUCACAUGACCACCUGCACCUGAUUCACGUGUCUGUUAAUGAGCAUUCUUGUGUGUAUAUAUACACUGUGUGCACCGUUUCUCUGUCUUUCGUUGUCUUAGACUUCUGUGUUCCAUGUCACUACAUUUUGUUUCAUGCCAUAGUGUUUUGUCUAGUUGUCUUAGUGUCUUUGUUUUGUUGUGUAUUUGUUUAAUAAACGUUCUUAUCUGCGAUUGCUUCUGAACCCAUCCUUGAUUCGUGACACAAACUUGCAUCUCUGCUUGAUUAUUUGGAUGAAAUAAAGGUGUGGAUGGCAUCCAGUUUUUUGCAGCUUAAUGAGUCAAAAUAUGAAGUGGUGUUUUUUGGUCCAUAAAAGUUAGCCAAACAGCUUGAAAUCUGGGCCCUUUAGCCACCAAUGUUAGGAAUGUUAGGUGAGGAACCCUGGUGUGAUUUUUGAUUCUGAGCUGAAAUGUGAAAAACAAAUAAAGUUUCCAAGAAUCCAAGAAUUUCUUCCUUGGUUCCUCUGAUUUUCUGUACA
Ictalurus punctatus (channel catfish) is the source of this 3760-nucleotide RNA transcript. It is a transcript of the gene named transcriptional protein SWT1, with no coding region annotated. The transcript has 3 exons. Lineage: Eukaryota; Metazoa; Chordata; Actinopteri; Siluriformes; Ictaluridae. The record is from RefSeq and is a predicted model, not a curated record.